GACGAACGCUGGCGGCGUGCUUAACACAUGCAAGUCGAACGGAAAGGCCCUGCUUUUGUGGGGUGCUCGAGUGGCGAACGGGUGAGUAACACGUGAGUAACCUGCCCUUGACUUUGGGAUAACUUCAGGAAACUGGGGCUAAUACCGGAUAGGAGCUCCUGCUGCAUGGUGGGGGUUGGAAAGUUUCGGCGGUUGGGGAUGGACUCGCGGCUUAUCAGCUUGUUGGUGGGGUAGUGGCUUACCAAGGCUUUGACGGGUAGCCGGCCUGAGAGGGUGACCGGCCACAUUGGGACUGAGAUACGGCCCAGACUCCUACGGGAGGCAGCAGUGGGGAAUAUUGCACAAUGGGCGGAAGCCUGAUGUAGCAACGCCGCGUGCGGGAUGACGGCCUUCGGGUUGUAAACCGCUUACGCCUGUGACGAAGCGUGAGUGACGGUAAUGGGUAAAGAAGCACCGGCUAACUACGUG
Molecule: ribosomal RNA, 468 nt
Filed under: uncultured bacterium
Lineage: Bacteria
Description: partial 16S ribosomal RNA
Rfam family: Bacterial small subunit ribosomal RNA
Source: RNAcentral